GGGGCUUGCGCCACAUUAGUUAGUUGGUAGGGUAAAAGCCUACCAAGACGAUGAUGUGUAGCUGGACUGAGAGGUUGAACAGCCACAUUGGGACUGAGACACGGCCCAAACUCCUACGGGAGGCAGCAGUAGGGAAUUUUCGGCAAUGGAGGAAACUCUGACCGAGCAACGCCGCGUGAACGAUGAAGUAUUUCGGUAUGUAAAGUUCUUUUAUUGAAGAAGAAAAAGUAGUGGAAAAACUAUAUUGACGUUAUUCAAUGAAUAAGCCCCGGCUAACUAUGUGCCAGCAGCCGCGGUAAGACAUAGGGGGCGAGCGUUAUCCGGAAUUAUUGGGCGUAAAGGGUGCGUAGGCUGUUAGAUAAGUCUAUAAUUUAAUUUCAGUGCUUAACGCUGUCUUGUUAUAGAAACUGUCUUGACUAGAGUGAGAUAGAGGCAAGCGGAAUUCCAUGUGUAGCGGUAAAAUGUGUAAAUAUAUGGAGGAACACCAGAAGCGUAGGCGGCUUGCUGGGUCUUUACUGACGCUGAGGCACGAAAGCGUGGGUAGCAAACAGGAUUAGAUACCCUGGUAGUCCACGCCGUAAACGAUGAGUACUAAGUGUCGGGGUAAAACUCGGUACUGAAGUUAACACAUUAAGUACUCCGCCUGAGUAGUACGUACGCAAGUAUGAAACUUAAAGGAAUUGACGGGACUCCGCACAAGCGGUGGAUCAUGUUGUUUAAUUCGAAGAUACACGAAAAAUCUUACCAGGUCUUGACAUACUCUGCAAAGCUAUAGAAAUAUAGUGGAGGUUAUCAGGGAUACAGGUGGUGCAUGGUUGUCGUCAGUUCGUGUCGUGAGAUGUUAGGUUAAGUCCUAAAACGAGCGCAACCCUUGUCGUUAAUUGCCAGCACGUAAUGGUGGGGACUUUAGCGAGACUGCCAAUUAAACAUUGGAGGAAGGUGAGGAUUACGUCAAAUCAUCAUGCCCCUUAUGAUCUGGGCUACAAACGUGAUACAAUGGCUGUGACAAAGAGUAGCUGAAACGCGAGUUUUUAGCCAAUCUCAAAAAAGCAGUCUCAGUUCGGAUUGAAGUCUGUAACUCGACUUCAUG
Molecule: ribosomal RNA, 1090 nt
Filed under: Candidatus Phytoplasma trifolii
Lineage: Bacteria; Bacillati; Mycoplasmatota; Mollicutes; Acholeplasmatales; Acholeplasmataceae
Description: bacterial SSU rRNA
Rfam family: Bacterial small subunit ribosomal RNA
Source: RNAcentral